This 693-nucleotide ribosomal RNA is filed under the name uncultured bacterium. Its description in RNAcentral is "bacterial SSU rRNA". It matches the Rfam family "Bacterial small subunit ribosomal RNA", at positions 32 to 715 of the family's 1533-position model. The record is from RNAcentral.
AACGCUAGCUACAGGCUUAACACAUGCAAGUCGAGGGGCAUCAGGAAGAAAGCUUGCUUUCUUUGCUGGCGACCGGCGCACGGGUGAGUAACACGUAUCCAACCUGCCGAUGACUCGGGGAUAGCCUUUCGAAAGAAAGAUUAAUACCCGAUGGUAUAUCUGAAAGGCAUCUUUCAGCUAUUAAAGAAUUUCGGUCAUUGAUGGGGAUGCGUUCCAUUAGGUUGUUGGCGGGGUAACGGCCCACCAAGCCAUCGAUGGAUAGGGGUUCUGAGAGGAAGGUCCCCCACAUUGGAACUGAGACACGGCCCAAACUCCUACGGGAGGCAGCAGUGAGGAAUAUUGGUCAAUGGACGAGAGUCUGAACCAGCCAAGUAGCGUGAAGGAUGACUGCCCUAUGGGUUGUAAACUUCUUUUAUACGGGAAUAAGGUUAGGCACGUGUGCCUUUUUGUAUGUACCGUAUGAAUAAGGAUCGGCUAACUCCGUGCCAGCAGCCGCGGUAAUACGGAGGAUCCGAGCGUUAUCCGGAUUUAUUGGGUUUAAAGGGAGCGUAGGCGGAUGCUUAAGUCAGUUGUGAAAGUUUGCGGCUCAACCGUAAAAUUGCAGUUGAUACUGGGUGUCUUGAGUACAGUAGAGGCAGGCGGAAUUCGUGGUGUAGCGGUGAAAUGCUUAGAUAUCACGAAGAACUCCGAUUG